UACGGAGAACUCAAGCGUUACCCGGAAUCACUGGGCGUAAAGCGUUGCGUAGGCGGUUUUUCAAGUCGGAUCUUAAAGGCCAAGGCUCAACCUUGGAACUGGGUACGAUACUACAAAACUGGAGGAUGGUAGAGGUGAGUGGAAUUGCUGGUGUAGGAGUGAAAUCCGUAGAUAUCAGCAGGAACACCAAUGGCGAAGGCAGCUCACUGGGCCAUUCCUGACGCUGAGGUGCGAAAGCGUGGGGAGCAAACAGG
This 254-nucleotide ribosomal RNA is filed under the name uncultured bacterium. RNAcentral's name for it is "partial 16S ribosomal RNA". It matches the Rfam family "Bacterial small subunit ribosomal RNA", at positions 524 to 776 of the family's 1533-position model. The record is from RNAcentral.